Molecule: ribosomal RNA, 459 nt
Filed under: uncultured bacterium
Lineage: Bacteria
Description: partial 16S ribosomal RNA
Rfam family: Bacterial small subunit ribosomal RNA
Source: RNAcentral
CCUACGGGAGGCAGCAGUGAGGAAUAUUGGUCAAUGGCCGAGAGGCUGAACCAGCCAAGUCGCGUGAGGGAAGACGGCCCUACGGGUUGUAAACCUCUUUUGUCGGGGAGCAAAGCGAACCACGUGUGGCUUUUUGAGAGUACCCGAAGAAAAAGCAUCGGCUAACUCCGUGCCAGCAGCCGCGGUAAUACGGAGGAUGCGAGCGUUAUCCGGAUUUAUUGGGUUUAAAGGGUGCGCAGGCGGAGGUGCAAGUCAGCGGUGAAAUUGCGGGGCUCAACCCCGUACUGCCGUUGAAACUGCAUGCCUUGAGUGCGCGAGAAGUAUGCGGAAUGCGUGGUGUAGCGGUGAAAUGCAUAGAUAUCACGAAGAACUCCGAUUGCGAAGGCAGCUUACUAAACUGCCACUGACAUUGAUGCACGAAAGUGUGGGUAUCGAACAGGAUUAGAUACCCGAGUAGUC